UUAGGGGUUUCUGGUUUUUCAAGAAAUGAAUUUAAUUCAUACGUCUUAUUUAGAGUUUUAUUAUUUGUUUAUUUAUUUUUAUUUGGCGUUAAGAUUGGGAGGGAUUAGCUUCUUAUUUUAUUUUUAUAAUUUUUUGUUUAUUUGAUCUUGUGGGUUUUAUAGUGAUUUUCAAUUUGAUUAUGUUAAAAUUUUAUUUGUUUUAUUCUUUAUUUUUUGUUUAUUUAAUUAUUUAUUGAAAUGUGUUUUUUAUCUUGUUUUGGUUAGUAAUUAUUGUAGAAUUAGUAAAUUUGUUGUUAGGUUGUUUUAUUUGUGUUAAUUUUCUUUGAGGAACUAGGCAAAUUUCAUGUCCGCCUGUUUAACAAAAACAUCUUUUCUCGUUAGUUUUUGAAGUAUGGCCUGCCCGCUGACUUGGUGUUGAAGGGCCGCGGUAUUUUGACCGUGCAAAGGUAGCAUAGUCAUUAGUUCUUUAAUUGUGAUCUGGUAUGAAUGGCUUGACGAGGCAUGGGCUGUCUUAAUUUUGAAUUGUUUAUUGAAUUUGGUCUUUGAGUUAAAAUUCUUAGAUGUUUUUAUGGGACGAGAAGACCCUAUAGAGUUUAACAUUUAUUAUGGUCCUUUUCUGUUUGUGAGGGUUCACUGGGCUAUCUAAUAUGUUUUGUUGGGGUGAUAGGAGGGAUUAAUUUAA
Molecule: ribosomal RNA, 682 nt
Filed under: Reticulitermes urbis
Lineage: Eukaryota; Metazoa; Arthropoda; Insecta; Blattodea; Rhinotermitidae
Description: partial 16S ribosomal RNA
Rfam family: Archaeal large subunit ribosomal RNA (bases 343-504)
Source: RNAcentral